AUUGAACGCUGGCGGCAUGCUUUACACAUGCAAGUCGAACGGAAACAGCACUUCGGUGGCUGACGAAUGGCGAACGGGUGAGUAAGACAUCCGAACGUGCCUAGUACUUGGGGAUAACUACUCGAAAGAGUAGCUAAUACCGCAUGAGAUCUAAGGAUGAGAGCAGGGGACCUUCGGGCCUUGCGCUACUAGAGCGGCUGCUGGCAGAUUAGGUAGUUGGUGGGAUAAAAGCUUACCAAGGCGACGAUUUGUAGCUGGUCUGAGAGGACGACCAGCCACACUGGGACUGAGACACGGACCAGACUCCUACGGGAGGCAGCAGUGGGGAAUUUUGGACAAUGGGCGCAAGCCUGAUCCAGCAAUGCCGCGUGCAGGAUGAAGGCCUUCGGGUUGUAAACUGCUUUUGUACGGAACGAAAAGCCCUCUUCUAAUACAGGAGGGUCAUGACGGUACCGUAAGAAUAAGCACCGGCUAACUACGUG
Molecule: ribosomal RNA, 482 nt
Filed under: uncultured bacterium
Lineage: Bacteria
Description: partial 16S ribosomal RNA
Rfam family: Bacterial small subunit ribosomal RNA
Source: RNAcentral